This 440-nucleotide ribosomal RNA is filed under the name marine bacterium SIMO-IS150. RNAcentral's name for it is "bacterial SSU rRNA". It matches the Rfam family "Bacterial small subunit ribosomal RNA", at positions 46 to 533 of the family's 1533-position model. Lineage: Bacteria; Pseudomonadati; Pseudomonadota; Alphaproteobacteria. The record is from RNAcentral.
GCCUAACACUGCAAGUCCGAACGAACCCUUCGGGGUUAGUGGCGCACGGGUGCGUAACGCGUGGGAACCUGCCUUUAGGUUCGGAAUAACUCAGAGAAAUUUGAGCUAAUACCGGAUGAUGUCUUCGGACCAAAGAUUUAUCGCCUUUAGAUGGGCCCGCGUUAGAUUAGAUAGUUGGUGGGGUAAUGGCCUACCAAGUCGACGAUCUAUAGCUGGUCUGAGAGGAUGAUCAGCCACACUGGGACUGAGACACGGCCCAGACUCCUACGGGAGGCAGCAGUGGGGAAUAUUGGACAAUGGGCGAAAGCCUGAUCCAGCAAUGCCGCGUGAGUGAUGAAGGCCUUAGGGUUGUAAAGCUCUUUUCCAGGGAUGAUAAUGACAGUACCUGGAGAAUAAGCUCCGGCUAACUCCGUGCCAGCAGCCGCGGUAAUCCGGAGGGA